GAGUUGAAGACGAACCGAAACUCAAGGGAAUUGACUGAGUUUCUGUAGAGUUUGUUAUCUAUCACAUGAAUGGACUAGCUCAUGUAAUCUUUUAAGUUACACUAUUAUCUCUGCAAAUUUAUGUACAAACAUCUCCCAUCUUAAAACCCACAUAUAAAGCAAAACAUAAGACUACAUAGAAGGGAUAAUUAAUGUCAUUUUAAUGCCAUUUGAUGAUUCAUAAAUAAUGACCAUCUCACAGCUUCAGAUUUCUAUUUUCCUGUCCUGACAGCCAAUGUCCAUAUGUUUUAGGUAUUUUUUUCCCAUUCUUGUCAUAUAUGUCGAGAACGUCUUGAUGAAUUUCUACAAAUUUGGCACAGAUCAUUCACUUGGACUUAAAUGUGACCUGAUUAGAUUUUGGUGGUCAACGGUCAAUGUCACUGUAGCCUCACAAGCAAAUUAUUUUGUGAACAUGACACAGUAUCUCCGGAACACCUUGAGGGAAUCAUUUCACAUUUAGUUGGACUCAAGAGUUAAUUUAUUUGAUCCACUUUGAUUCAAAGAUGAAUAUGUUAGAUUUCAGUGGCCAAAGGUCACAGUGACUGGAAAGAAAACAUUUACAUUUCUUUUAUCAUUCCUUUAUCAUUCCUU
Molecule: unclassified non-coding RNA, 630 nt
Filed under: Hevea brasiliensis (rubber tree)
Lineage: Eukaryota; Viridiplantae; Streptophyta; Magnoliopsida; Malpighiales; Euphorbiaceae
Source: RNAcentral